RNAcentral lists this ribosomal RNA (423 nucleotides) under uncultured bacterium. Its description in RNAcentral is "partial 16S ribosomal RNA". It matches the Rfam family "Bacterial small subunit ribosomal RNA", at positions 360 to 775 of the family's 1533-position model. The record is from RNAcentral.
AAUUUUGGACAAUGGGGGCAACCCCGACCCAGCCAUCCCGCGUGUGCGAUGAAGGCCUUCGGGUUGUAAAGCACUUUUGGUGGGGAAGAAAAGGCUCUGGCUAAUAUAUGGAACUGCUGACUGUACCUGCAGAAUAAGCACCGGCUGACUACGUGCCAGCAGCCGCGGUAAUACGUAGGGUGCAAGCGUUAAUCGGAAUUACUGGGCGUAAAGCGUGCGCAGGCGGUUCGGCAAGAAGGAUGUGAAAUCCCGGGGCUUAACCACGGAACUGCAUUCUUAACUGCCGGGCUAGAGUAUGUCAGAGGGGGGUAGAAUUCCACGUGUAGCAGUGAAAUGCGUAGAGAUGUGGAGGAAUACCGAUGGCGAAGGCAGCCCCCUGGGAUAAUACUGACGCUCAGACACGAAAGCGUGGGGAGCAAACAG